RNAcentral lists this ribosomal RNA (501 nucleotides) under Triticum aestivum (bread wheat). Its description in RNAcentral is "partial small subunit ribosomal RNA". The record is from RNAcentral. Lineage: Eukaryota; Viridiplantae; Streptophyta; Magnoliopsida; Poales; Poaceae.
AUGUGUGUACCGAAAAGAGAGGGAGGUAUGGGAUUUAGAGAUAUUCAUUGUUUCAAUUUAGCUCUCUUAGCUAAGCAGGCGUGGAGGCUUAUUGAGAACCCGGAUUCUUUGUGUGCCCGGAUUCUGAGAGCAAAAUACUUCCCGGAUGGUGAUUUAUUAAAUUGCAUGUUAAAGAAGAAUGCCUCAUUUACAUGGCAAAGCAUAAUGCAAGGUGUGAAUACUUUGAGACAUGGAUAUAUUUGGAGAGUAGGAGAUGGUGGAAACAUUAAUAUCUGGAGGGAUGCUUGGAUCCCAAACUCUCCAUCCAGAAUGAUUAUCACACCUAGGGGAGGCCAUUUGAUUUCUAAGGUGAGUGGCUUAAUUGAUCCAUCAACGGGUCAGUGGGAUGUCGACCUUGUUGAGCAAACUUUUUGGCCCAUUGAUGCGGUAAGGGUUCUUGCUAUACCAUUAUCGACAAACGAUAUGACUGAUUUUAUUGCUUGGAGUCUGAAUAAGCAUGGA